UCGAUUUCUUUCCCCCUUUCCAGAACCCAUUCAUUUCCUCCUCUAGAUUUCUUCUUCCCCCAGAAAUCCCCUUCGUGGCCCAUCACAGACCUAAUUCUUGCAACUCAUUCCAUCGUUUACAAUCGAAGUUGACCCACGAAACCAACGUAAGUGGUCCUCAAGCACGAUGUCUGUAGAAUCAUUCGUCUUCAUCAAGCACGGCAACCAAGCACGAUUCCUCUUCCUCAAGCACGAUUUGUCUUCAUCAAGCACGAUUUGUCUUCCUCAAGCAAUAUUUCCCCCAUUCCCACGAAAGCCCCACCUUCCCACUCGAAACCGCAGUCCAUUUGAAACCGAAACCCUAACCACUAUCCAACCCGCGACGUAAUCCCUUGAGGUUGUUGGGUACUUUGCUUGAGAACAGCAGAGUGCUAGAGUGGAUCUAUCACAGGCCAUCAUCUCAUCGAGGAGAUGCAAUUUGGAUUGGAUGGAUCACAACGGGUGUAACCUGACGGGGAUGGAUCACAACUGGCGCAAUGAGAUGUUUUAAUUUUAAUAUUCAGAUACUAUGUUUUGGAAUGUAAGUCAUGGAAUGUAUUGGAACUGUGUAUUGGAAUGUAUUUUGAUGUGAGUGUAUUGGACUAUAUUGGAACUGUGUACUGGAAUGUAAGUGUGCUUUGAAUGGCCAUAUAUAGCAAGUUGGAGUUUUGUGUA
Long non-coding RNA from Juglans regia (Persian walnut), 693 nucleotides. RefSeq lists it as uncharacterized. Lineage: Eukaryota; Viridiplantae; Streptophyta; Magnoliopsida; Fagales; Juglandaceae. The transcript is spliced from 3 exons. The record is from RefSeq and is a predicted model, not a curated record.